Molecule: non-coding RNA, 73 nt
Organism: Globomyces sp. JEL0801
Lineage: Eukaryota; Fungi; Chytridiomycota; Chytridiomycetes; Rhizophydiales; Globomycetaceae
Source: the annotation of a GenBank genome assembly
GCUGGCGUGGCUUAGUUGGUAAAGCGUCAGUCUCAUAAUCUGAAGAUCAUGAGUUCGAGCCUCAUCGCGAGCA